UAGCAUAUGCUUGUCUCAAAGAUUAAGCCAUGCAUGUCUAAGUAUAAACUUCUUUAUACUGUGAAACUGCGUACAGCUCAUUAUAUCAGUUAUAAUUUAUUUGAUGGUACUUUACUACAUGGAUAACCGUAGUAAUUCUAGAGCUAAUACAUGCGUAAAGUCCCGACUCGCGAGGGGAGGGAUGUAUUUAUUAGAUAAAAAACCAAUGCGCCCUCUGGGUGAUUUGUGGUGAAUCAUAAUAACUUUUCGAACCGCAUGGUCUCGUACCGGCGGUAGAUCAUUCAAAUUUCUGCCCUAUCAGCUUUCGACGGUAGUGUAGUGGACUACCGUGGCGUUAACGGGUGACGGAGAAUUAGGGUUCGAUUCCGGAGAGGGAGCCUGAGAAACGGCUACCACAUCCAAGGAAGGCAGCAGGCGGGUAAAUUACCCAAUCCUGACACAGGGAGGUAGUGACAAAAAAUAACAAUACCGGGCCUUUUUAGGUCUGGUAAUUGGAAUGAGUACAAUUUAAAUCCCUUAACGAGGAUCAACU
This 532-nucleotide ribosomal RNA is filed under the name uncultured microeukaryote. Its description in RNAcentral is "SSU rRNA". It matches the Rfam family "Eukaryotic small subunit ribosomal RNA", at positions 25 to 549 of the family's 1831-position model. The record is from RNAcentral.